This is a long non-coding RNA of Cyprinus carpio (common carp), 411 nucleotides long. Lineage: Eukaryota; Metazoa; Chordata; Actinopteri; Cypriniformes; Cyprinidae. The record is from Ensembl.
AUGCCUUUUCGUCUAAUUGAAUUUCAAGCGAGCGAGGACAUUGUUGUUGUGCCAGUUGACUGGUAUGAUGACGGGAUGGUGUACUGGCCCAGCUUUAAUAGCACUGAACGUGUGAAAAGGGCAGCUGCUAACGAGGAGAAGCAUGAGCCAAACUGGCCAAGAUAUGUUGUAAAGGUCAUCAGAACUUGUGACAACUACAAAAACACCAUUAGGCUUAGGACUCAAUAUCAGAAUGGCUGCAACAUCUCUGAGCUACAGUCUGAUGCAGAGCAGGAGGGUAAGCUGCCAGAGAAAAGAUUCAGGAAGCCAGUCCAUCGUUUUGGGGACUCUGAUGAGAGUGAAGAAGAGACAGAAAAUGGUGACUUUGCAUCUCUGAGGAUGCCACGACCUUCUUACUUGUGUAUCAGUUGA